GACGAACGCUGGCGGCGUGCCUAAUACAUGCAAGUCGAACGAGAGCGACCGGUGCUUGCACUGGUCAAUCUAGUGGCGAACGGGUGAGUAACACGUGGGUAACCUGCCCAUCAGAGGGGGAUAACAUUCGGAAACGGAUGCUAAAACCGCAUAGGUUCUACAGUCGCAUGACUGAAGAAGGAAAAGAGGCUUCGGCUUCUGCUGAUGGAUGGACCCGCGGUGCAUUAGCUAGUUGGUGAGGUAACGGCCCACCAAGGCCGUGAUGCAUAGCCGACCUGAGAGGGUGAUCGGCCACAUUGGGACUGAGACACGGCCCAAACUCCUACGGGAGGCAGCAGUAGGGAAUCUUCCGCAAUGGACGCAAGUCUGACGGAGCAGCGCCGCGUGAGUGAAGAAGGAUUUCGGUUCGUAAAACUCUGUUGUUAGAGAAGAACAGCGCAUAGAGUAACUGUUAUGCGUGUGACGGAUCUAACCAGAAAGC
This 481-nucleotide ribosomal RNA is filed under the name Granulicatella elegans. RNAcentral's name for it is "bacterial SSU rRNA". It matches the Rfam family "Bacterial small subunit ribosomal RNA", at positions 28 to 491 of the family's 1533-position model. Lineage: Bacteria; Bacillati; Bacillota; Bacilli; Lactobacillales; Carnobacteriaceae. The record is from RNAcentral.